AAGUCGGAAUCCGCUAAGGAGUGUGUAACAACUCACCUGCCGAAUGAAUUAGCCCUGAAAAUGGAUGGCGCUGAAGCGGGCGGCCGACACCGCGCCGUGUGACUAAGAAUUGUGAACAAAAAAAAGUCGCAUGAGUAGGAGGGCGUGGCGGGCGUGGAGAAGCGUGGGCGCGAGCCUGCGUGGAACGGUCCGCUAGUGCAGAUCUUGGUGGUAGUAGCAAGUAUUCAAGUGAGAACCUUGAAGGGCGAAGCGGGGAAGGGUUCCACGCAAACAUUGAUUGGGCGUGGGUGAGUCGUUCCUAAGCCGAGUGGCAAUUGCACGAAAGUAAUGGCGAAAGGGAAGCGGGUUGAAAUUCCCGCACACGGAUGUGGAGCGCGGUGACGCGAACUGAGGGCGAAGACGCUGGCGAUGGCGCUGGGCAGAGUUGUCUUUUCUGUUUGACCGCUGUGUGGCGUGCAGUGUGGAAUCCGCUUGUCGGGAGAAACACGCACGCUCGGGCAGAGCGCCGGGGAUUAUCCGGCGUCCAGCUCGCCAUCGACAGACCUUGAAAAUUUGCCUGCUGGUCUAAAAUCCACGCCGUGGCGUACCGAUCACCGCAUCAGGUCCCCAAGGUGAACAGCCUCUGCUCGAUAUGAAAAAUGCAGGUAAGGGAAGUCGGCAAAUUAGACCCGUAACUUUGGGAAAAGGGUUGGCUCUAGUGCUGCGUGGGAGUGGUUGUCUGUGUUCUGUGUGGGUGGAGGGAGGGGUCGGCUUGGCGCGGGGGAAAUGGGUUGUUCGAAGAGAUUCGUUUCUUUUUGGGUAGCCUCUCCUGUUCUCGGCUACUCACCAGCCGCUCUCGCCACGGACGACGCCCACAGCAUGCAGCAGACUAGAACUGCAACGGGCAAAGGGAAUCCGACUGUUUAAUUAAAACAAAGCAUUGAGAAGGCCGUGGAUGGUGAUGACUCAAU
Molecule: ribosomal RNA, 950 nt
Filed under: Peyssonnelia conchicola
Lineage: Eukaryota; Rhodophyta; Florideophyceae; Peyssonneliales; Peyssonneliaceae
Description: LSU rRNA
Rfam family: Eukaryotic large subunit ribosomal RNA
Source: RNAcentral